RNA transcript from Lotus japonicus, 2400 nucleotides. RefSeq lists it as uncharacterized. The transcript has 9 exons. NCBI's taxonomy places the organism in Eukaryota, Viridiplantae, Streptophyta, Magnoliopsida, Fabales, Fabaceae. The record is from RefSeq and is a predicted model, not a curated record.
CAUAGGUUAGCAGAAAUCAAUCUCUCCCUUUCUCCCUUGUACGCACGCUCGACCCUCCCUGCUUCUACCGUGUAGGCUCUACAACAUCCCUCUACUGCUUUUCUGUUUUCGACGGCGUUCUGGAGCUACCCUUCCCUGAGCUAUGCGUUUUUUCCUCUCCUCUGCUCGUCCCUAUGGAUAUCACUUUAUAGGUACUUUUCCUAUACCCUAAUGCAUCCCCUAUUUUCUUAACGUGAUUUCCAGCAAACCCUUCGUCAGUUCCAUCCCUUGAAUUUGGCCAGUUGUUUCAUGGUUGUUCUUGAUGCUUGAACCCUAGAAGAGAAUCUAUGAUCUAUGCCUAUGAGCAUCAAGAUACGUGUGUGUUACUUUCCAUAUCUUCCUUCAUGAAUUCUCGCAUAAAGUCCCCUAGAAUGUUAUCUAGCACAUGUUCUCCUCUGUCCAGUUUCCAUAGGUACUCUCAAAGCCAACUGUCAAUUUUGCUUUACACCCAACACUCCCUCUUCAUCUUCAUCUUCUUUACGACUUCACUGAUUUGAUGCAAGGAUUGUGCCUAUAAAUUAAACCAUUCGGGUCAUGACAAAUCAGAACAAGUUCUAGCAUGGAGAAAAACAGACUGGAUCAGAAGUCCCUGCAUGUGUUUUCUCAGAGACGCAAAGAAAGAAAAUAGACAUGGGAAGUUUGGAGGAUGACGAGUUGGGACAAAUGGUACAAGACUUCAUUGAAUCUGAGUCAACAUCCCCUACAAGUUCCACUUCAUCAAACCAGAUGCUUAAUUUUGCAGGACAUUCUCAGUUAUGAGACAGCAGCAAAAGCUAAGGUUUAGAAGAAUGUGUUGAAACAUAUGAGAGGCAGAAGACAGGGUUCUAAGAAAACAACAAGUCUGAGUAAAUGGCUUGUCAUGAGGAUGAAAAUGGAUGGCAUCAAUGUUUCUUUGUGUCACUCAUCUUGGUCCACCUCAUUGGGAUGUCCUGCUGGUGAAUAUGAAUUUAUUGAAGUCAUAACUGAAGACAAGAAUCAUGCUGGUCCUGUGAGGCUCAUAGUAGAUAUAGACUUCAGGUCCCAAUUUGAGCUUGCUAGGCCUUUACAGCACUACAAAGAAUUGACAGACUCUCUCCAUUUAUUUUUGUGGGGACUGAGAACAAACUCUGCAAGUUGGCGAGUUUCACUUUCAAUGCCAGAAGGCACACCUGUGAAGCCACCACAUUGUUUGAAGCAUACAGAAAAGUUCACUCUUGAUCAGGAAUGCGUUUGUGUUCCAGAUUCGAUAUGAAGGUUGUGAUUGGGGAGGGGCUUAAGAUUUAUGAGGAAGGGUGAGAAAGUUGUUGAACUGCUAGAUUGAGAAUGAGUACGGGAAACGGAGUAAGGUACUAGGAUCUGCUGGCCAAAGUUCUGUGAGUUGUGCCGCAAAAUUGGUUGUUAACAUAGGGACUGUGGUUCCAUGGAUAAUGUGCAAGGAAAGUGAUGCACCGAAUCCAGUGAGGGUGGGGACAUAAACCGUAUAGGAGCAAUUUUCUCAAAAGAAGACAUGGUGAUUAUGUUCACUAACACUGAAAGUAUUAUCAUGAAAGUUUUCGAGCCAAUCACUACGCAGGAGAUAUACUGAAAAGUUAGGAAUGAGCUUUCCGAUUUUGUUUGUUUCAUUCUGCCGCAUGCUUUACUUUCUAUGGUCACUUUGUGGUUGCGCAAACACCACUCUGACACUUCAACUUAUCCGCAUCAUUUAGACCUUGAUUUCAAAAGUGUAAUGCAAUACAUUCUUUAGCCAUCUUUGAGCUGAUAUGUCGUUUUCAGCUGAUAUUUUUUAGCUCUUAAAAACUAAACACAUUUCAUCAUCAUGUUUCAACAACCCAUUACUUAGUUGUAUAUUAUUGAUUGAUAUCAACAUGGGUCAUGUUGCUAAGAUCCCCCCAAGUAUAUGUUUACUAAUGUUCUAUAUUUAUAAGAUGAUCAGUUAUAUUUUUUGGUUAAAUUUUAAACUCAUGAUUUAUUACUUUUACAAGAUCUUGCCCAAUUUUCUUAUGCCACUGUUUAAGUUGUUGGCACCUCAGGAUCCUUGCAAGAUAUAGAUGAAGUUGAACUCCUUGGAUUUCUCCCGAGGCAAAAUAGGAUGUUGCAUAUGUAGUCUCUACAAACCGUUUGAAUAAGGCCAUCAAGAUGAUAAAGAGAAGUGACAGACAGGUUGGAAAUGAAGCAUUACAUUAGGGAGAAUGCUUUAUUGUCUCUCAUUUUCUUUUGUACUGGUUUUUGGUGAACAUGUAGUGUUCAAAUUUUCCAAUUGUCUUAAAUGUUUGUAAAUGGUUCAAACCCAUGAAGACUGUAAAGUUUUGUUAGGGUAUGGCAAACAAGAAGUUUGUUUAUUCACAAAGGUCAUUUAAAUAUAUCAUAUUGGAUUUGCGUUCA